UACGGAGGGUGCGAGCGUUGUCCGGAAUCACUGGGCGUAAAGGGCGCGUAGGUGGCCGAGCAAGGUCGCGGUGAAAGCCCGGGGCUCAACCCCGGGUCGGCCGUGGCAACUACUGGGCUGGAGCACUGUAGGGGCGGGUGGAAUUCCGGGUGUAGCGGUGGAAUGCGUAGAGAUCCGGAAGAACACCGGUGGCGAAGGCGGCCCGCUGGGCAGUUGCUGACACUGAGGCGCGGCAGCGUGGGGAGCAAACAGG
RNAcentral lists this ribosomal RNA (253 nucleotides) under uncultured bacterium. Its description in RNAcentral is "partial 16S ribosomal RNA". It matches the Rfam family "Bacterial small subunit ribosomal RNA", at positions 524 to 776 of the family's 1533-position model. The record is from RNAcentral.